Molecule: ribosomal RNA, 225 nt
Filed under: uncultured bacterium
Lineage: Bacteria
Description: partial 16S ribosomal RNA
Rfam family: Bacterial small subunit ribosomal RNA
Source: RNAcentral
CGUGGGUAACCUGCCCAUCAGAGGGGGAUAACAUUCGGAAACGGAUGCUAAAACCGCAUAGGUCUUCGAACCGCAUGGUUUGAAGAGGAAAAGAGGCGCAAGCUUCUGCUGAUGGAUGGACCCGCGGUGCAUUAGCUAGUUGGUGAGAUAACGGCUCACCAAGGCCGUGAUGCAUAGCCGACCUGAGAGGGUGAUCGGCCACAUUGGGACUGAGACACGGCCCAA